AGAGUUUGAUCCUGGCUCAGAAUGAACGCUGGCGGCGCGCCUAAUACAUGCAAGUCGAGCGAGAAGACGUAGCAAUACGUUUGUAAAGCGGCGAACGGGUGAGGAAUACAUGGGUAACCUACCCUUGAGUGGGGAAUAACUAGCCGAAAGGUUAGCUAAUACCGCGUACGCUCCUUGGACUUCGGUUCAGGGAGGAAAGCGCUACCGUGGGUAGCGCGCUCUUGGAUGGGCUCAUGUCCUAUCAGCUUGUUGGUGAGGUAACGGCUCACCAAGGCUUCGACGGGUAGCUGGUCUGAGAGGACGAUCAGCCACACUGGCACUGCGACACGGCCCAGACUCCUACGGGAGGCAGCAGUGGGGAAUUUUGGACAAUGGGCGCAAGCCUGAUCCAGCAAUGCCGCGUGAGUGAAGAAGGCCUUCGGGUUGUAAAGCUCUUUCAGUUGAGAAGAAAAGAUUGUGACUAAUAAUUGCAAUUCAUGACGGUAUCAACAGAAGAAGCACCGGCUAACUACGUGCCAGCAGCCGCGGUAAUACGUAGGGUGCGAGCGUUAAUCGGAAUUACUGGGCGUAAAGGGUGCGCAGGCGGUUCUGUAAGUCAGAUGUGAAAUCCCCGGGCUUAACCUGGGAACUGCGUUUGAAACUACAGAGCUAGAGUGUGGCAGAGGGGGGUGGAAUUCCAUGUGUAGCAGUGAAAUGCGUAGAGAUAUGGAAGAACAUCGAUGGCGAAGGCAGCCCCCUGGGUCAACACUGACGCUCAUGCACGAAAGCGUGGGGAGCAAACAGGAUUAGAUACCCUGGUAGUCC
RNAcentral lists this ribosomal RNA (804 nucleotides) under uncultured bacterium. Its description in RNAcentral is "bacterial SSU rRNA". It matches the Rfam family "Bacterial small subunit ribosomal RNA", at positions 8 to 796 of the family's 1533-position model. The record is from RNAcentral.